RNAcentral lists this ribosomal RNA (280 nucleotides) under uncultured Stichotrichia. RNAcentral's name for it is "partial Bacterial large subunit ribosomal RNA". It matches the Rfam family "Bacterial large subunit ribosomal RNA", at positions 1131 to 1413 of the family's 2925-position model. The record is from RNAcentral. Lineage: Eukaryota; Ciliophora; Spirotrichea.
UGCGUAACAGCUCACUGGUCGAGGAGUUUGGCGCCGAUAAUGAUCGGGAAUAAGCAGAGAACCGAAGCUGCGGCUUACCACUUUGUGGUAGGGGUAGGAAAGCGUUCCUGUCAGCGUUGAAGGUGUCCCGGAAGGGUCAUUGGAGCGGCAGGAAGUGAAUAUGUCGGCUUGAGUAACGAGAAAGCAGGUGAAAAUCCUGCUCGCCGAAAACCUAAGGUUUCCUGGGGAAGGUAGAUCCGCCCAGGGUUAGUCGGAUCCUAAGGCGAGGCCGAAAGGCGUA